Molecule: ribosomal RNA, 499 nt
Filed under: uncultured bacterium
Lineage: Bacteria
Description: bacterial SSU rRNA
Rfam family: Bacterial small subunit ribosomal RNA
Source: RNAcentral
UCAGGAUGAACGCAGCGGCAGGCUAACACAUGCAAGUCGAGGGGCAACGCGAGUAGCAAUACUUGGCGGCGACCGGCGCAAGGGUGCGUAACGCGUGAGCAACAUGCCCGUAUCAGGGGGAUAAUCCAGGGAAACUUGGUCUAAUACCCCAUAGUAAUUUUUGUAAGGCAUCUUAUAAGAUUUAAAGCUUUGGUGGAUACGGAUUGGCUCGCGUGACAUUAGCUGGAUGGUAAGGUAACGGCUUACCAUGGCUAUGAUGUCUAGGGGUUCUGAGAGGAAGGUCCCCCACACUGGAACUGAGACACGGUCCAGACUCCUACGGGAGGCAGCAGUGAGGAAUAUUGGACAAUGGAUGGAAAUCUGAUCCAGCCAUGCCGCGUGAAGGAAAGAAGGUCCUAUGGAUUGUAAACUUCUUUUGUAUGGGAGCAAUAAGGCCUACGAGUAGGUUGAUGAGAGUACCAUACGAAUAAGCACCGGCUAACUCCGUGCCAGCAGCCGC